GGAUCAUUAUCGUGCAACCGAGGUGUGAGGGCUGUCGCUGACCUUUAAGCGUUGUGCACGNCCAAAGCACUCUCACACAUCCAUCUUCACCCCUUUGUGCAUCACCGCGUGGGCCCUCCUUUGCAGGAGGGCUUGCGUUUUCACAUAAAACUUGAUACAGUGUAGAAAAUGCUUUUGCGGUCACACGCAAUCAAUACAACUUUCAACAACGGAUCUCUUGGCUCUCGCAUCGAUGAAGAACGCAGCGAAAUGCGAUACGUAAUGUGAAUUGCAGAAUUCAGUGAAUCAUCGAAUCUUUGAACGCACCUUGCGCCCCUUGGCAUUCCGAGGGGCACACCCGUUUGAGUGUCGUGAAAUCAUCAAAAACCUUUUUCCUUUGAACCUUUUUGGUCAGGGAAAAGGAUUUUUGGACUUGGAGGUUCCAUGCUUGCUUUCACCUUUGAAAGUGAGCUCCUCUCAAAUGAAUUAGUGGGGUCUGCUUUGCUGAUCCUUGACGUGAUAAGAUGUUUCUACGUUUUGGAUUUAGCACUGUCCCUUGGAUGCCUGCUUCUAAUCGUCUCUUGGGACAUUGAUGGUGCUUCGGUCACCGCCAUCUACGUUGGUGGAAGGAAGGCCGGGCCCACAUAAAAACCCUUGACCUCAAAUCGGGUGAGACUACCCGCUGAACUUAAGCAUAUCAAUAAGCGGAGGAAAAGAAACUAACAAGGAUUCCCCUAGUAACUGCGAGUGAAGCGGGAAAAGCUCAAAUUUAAAAUCUGG
RNAcentral lists this ribosomal RNA (759 nucleotides) under uncultured fungus. RNAcentral describes it as "eukaryotic LSU rRNA". The stretch from base 198 to 351 matches the Rfam family "5.8S ribosomal RNA". Lineage: Eukaryota; Fungi. The record is from RNAcentral.